AGAGAAAAGCACCAGAAAUUCAUAUAAGUUUGAUCUAAUGAAGUCACUUACUCCUCUCCUCAAGAAUUCCUUCUUAAUACUUUCCACUAUGAUGAAAGCUUUUGACAAGUUUUUCCCUCAAACCUCCUUAUAUAAGGAUUGGAGUUUUACAAUGGCUAACGUCUUAACCAAUAACGGAGUUUUAACUACAGAGACCUCCAUAACCAACUGAGAGCUUUUAAC
This 222-nucleotide long non-coding RNA is filed under the name Lathyrus oleraceus (garden pea). RNAcentral describes it as "Pisum sativum (pea) long non-coding RNA (PSAT_LNC001382)". Lineage: Eukaryota; Viridiplantae; Streptophyta; Magnoliopsida; Fabales; Fabaceae. The record is from RNAcentral.